CCCUUAGAUUGUCUGGGCGGCACGCGCGCUACAAUGAUGCAUUCAAAAAGUCUUCUGACCUUAGAAGGUUGGGUAUUCUCCAAAGUGCAUCGUGAUGGGAAUAGUUUAUUGCAAUUUUUAAUCUUGAACGAGGAAUUCCUAGUAAGUACAGGUCAUCAACUUGUGUUGAUUACGUCCCCGCCCUUUGUACACACCGCCCGUCGCUCCUACUGAUUGAGUGUCUCGGUGAAUUCGUUGAUCUUCUGUCGAUUCAGUUCACUGAUCCGACGGUGGAAAGUUGAAUGAACUUCGUCACUUAGAGGAAGGAGAAGUCGUAACA
Molecule: ribosomal RNA, 319 nt
Filed under: uncultured eukaryote
Lineage: Eukaryota
Description: partial 18S ribosomal RNA
Rfam family: Eukaryotic small subunit ribosomal RNA
Source: RNAcentral